This 497-nucleotide ribosomal RNA is filed under the name uncultured bacterium. Its description in RNAcentral is "partial 16S ribosomal RNA". It matches the Rfam family "Bacterial small subunit ribosomal RNA", at positions 28 to 507 of the family's 1533-position model. The record is from RNAcentral.
GAUGAACGCUGGCGGCGUGCCUAAUACAUGCAAGUCGAGCGAACGGACGAGAAGCUUGCUUUUCUGAUGUUAGCGGCGGACGGGUGAGUAACACGUGGAUAACCUACCUAUAAGACUGGGAUAACUUCGGGAAACCGGAGCUAAUACCGGAUAAUAUUUUGAACCGCAUGGUUCAAAAGUGAAAGACGGUCUUGCUGUCACUUAUAGAUGGAUCCGCGCUGCAUUAGCUAGUUGGUAAGGUAACGGCUUACCAAGGCAACGAUGCAUAGCCGACCUGAGAGAGUGAUCGGCCACACUGGAACUUGAACACGGUCCAGACUCCUACGAGAGGCAGCAGUAGGGAAUCUUCCGCAAUGGGCGAAAGCCUGACGGAGCAACGCCGCGUGAGUGAUGAAGGUCUUCGGAUCGUAAAACUCUGUUAUUAGGGAAGAACAUAUGUGUAAGUAACUGUGCACAGCUUGACGGUACCUAAUCAGAAAGCCACGGCUAACUACGUG